Long non-coding RNA from Crotalus tigris (Tiger rattlesnake), 292 nucleotides. RefSeq lists it as uncharacterized. The record is from RefSeq and is a predicted model, not a curated record. The transcript has 3 exons. NCBI's taxonomy places the organism in Eukaryota, Metazoa, Chordata, Lepidosauria, Squamata, Viperidae.
CGGGUUUUAAAGCUGGGCGCCGCCAUAUUGGUUAGGGGCGGGAGAGGCUUGUAGUAAAUUGCUUGUGGAAACAGACGAGCACAACUGCGGAGAUUACAAAGGGAAAACGUCAAAAAAGAGAGACUGGCAGUGGACGGUAAAUCUAAAAUAUUGAUUCUGCAACAUUGGAAAGAUAAAUGUAAGGCCCCAUUUAUUCAGAAGACCCCUAAACUUCAAGAUCAUAUUUCAGUUUGCGACAAGAAAUUUCCUUAUUUGUAAUCAGAAAUUUUUAAUCCUACCUUAUCACUUUCGG